AUUUAAUAAAUGCAAUUUCAGUUUUUUUUUUAUAAAUAAAUAAAGUUUGAAUUUAUUUUAAAUACAUUCUAUUAAAAAGUUAUUAAUAUAAUGAAAAGACAUAUUUGAUUCAUAACACUGGCAAAACUAUGAGAUUAAAUAUCCUGAAUGAUGCUGCUUUCAGUAAUUUACUGUAUUGUUACUUUCAUGAACUCUAUAAUGAGAGAAAAUUACUCAGUGCAAAAUAUUUAUCCUUUCUCAUGUGAACGAAAUUCUUUCACGUUUAAUGAACAUAAUUUUUUGGAUGUUUGCUGUGUCCGUGUGUGUGUGUGUGUGUGUGUGUGUGUUACUCAUCCAUCUUCUCUCUGUGUUUCCAUGGCAGCCGACGACCCCCAGCAUCACCUACUCGACCCAACCGACCCACAGACUCCUCCCUCUUAGACUAUUAGCCCCUCCCAAACCUUGUGACAGACAGCGAGGACAGACACGGACAGACACGCCCACUCCACCAGAACUCCUCCCCUUCCUGCUCCUCAACUCACACACAUCAUACAACUCUACAACCCUCUGUCACAGUUUAACCUUUCAUUUCACAUAGUUCUGUCAUCGUCAGACCAAAAUUUAGAAAAGGACACAUACUUGAGGAAUAUUGAGAGCUGGAAGCCCUUAUUUAGGAAACUUAGAUCUACAACACAACAUUUUUAUGAACUCAAACUCUUUGACAGCUGGUUGAUGAGUUUAACAUCACUGUUUAUCCUCCUUAACUUAAAGAAUGAGCUUGACUAGAAAAGUUAGAUGAAUGAGCACAGGGUUUGAUAAAUGCAUUUCUUAUUUACGUUCUGUUUCUCUAAGCUUCUUUUGGCUCUCAAAUGCUUGAUUUCCUGCUGUUUAAGGAUGCAUUAUCUCUCCAAAGUGUGAUCUGGAGUCUCGUGAUAACUGCAUCUUCUGGAAUGAGCUCAUGUGCAUCUGUAUUUCUGUUCAUUACUUUGGCUCUUCUUGUUUUUGUUUCGUAUGUGUGUCGGGCUGCAGUGGUCCCUGAGCUCACGGGCCAGAAGACGACACCAGACUCCCUGAAGGCCGGUCAAACACAGGUGACCCUUCUCGCCCCUUCUCUCCACGCGACCCUUAGCAUCAUUUCUUCUUCUGUUCCUCCCCGUCGAGUAAAACAACCCAAACCCACCAGCACAAGAGAAACCUUCCAGAUGUUUCCAGCAUCCUCGGAUUGAGAAACCAGUUUCAAGCUCAUUGUGGAGAUCAUUAUCAUGACCAUCAAACCUAAAAGAAACUCGUCAAAGGGAUAGUUCACCCUCGUGUCGAUUCCAACCAGUUUUCCUUUUUCCGUGGAACACAAAAGAUAAUAUUCUGAAGCAGUAAACCGUUUCGGGUCCCAUUGACUUCCAUAGUUUGGACAAACAGUACUGUGAAACUCAAGGGGACCCGAAACUAUUUGCUCUUCAAAAUAUCUCUUUGUAUAUAUCUGUUCCACAGCCAUUUAUUCCCCACACUGCAAACAAUCCUUAUUUUAGUCUCUUUUUCCAUUUAAAAGGAAGUUCAGCUACCGGAAACCCUGAAAAAUGCACUAAAGUAGGGAUCUUCUUGCAGUGCAAACCUUGUGACGAUGUAAAGUACGAGGACGUGUGUUCACUCUCAGUGAUUGUGCUCAGAAAUCAUUCAUUCAUCAGUGAAUCUGAGCCUUCGGUGGAGCUGGAUUGAAUUAGAGAGUGUCACUUUAAACACAGAAGUGCUGUUUCAGGGUGAACAGACGUCCUCGAGCUGGAUGAGAUGCUUGUGUGUUUACAACUGAGUUAAUAAACGAGUAGAGACUGAUGCUGAAGACUGUUGAAUGAUCAUGUCCAGAUGGUUUUCCACACAAAGGCUAUGUUUAGAAUUUAAUACUUGCUUACUGUAUAUACUUACUAUACAGUAUACACUGCUUACUGUUCUUAACAAAUAGCAUGUGGAAGUGCACUAUUCAAUGCUAAACAGUAGUAUGCAACAUUGUCGGCUCGUUGCAUGUUUAAAUUUAGUUCUUUUUGCAUUUUUAAGUCUGAUACAUGUACAAAUUUUUGCAAACGUAGUCUGUAAUUUGGGUGUUCAUACAGAUCUGUAAAUGGUGUGCAUACUAUAUAAUAAUAGCAGUAGUAUGAUAUUCUGAACAUAGCUGCAUAUGAUUGAAGGUGCUGUAAGCUAUUUGUAUUGAUUCCACCGCAUCAAUCAAGCCACAAAUGAUUUCGUAUCAGAUAAAAAAAAGUGGAUAUUAUAAAUAGUUUAGAGCACCUUUAAACGCCACCAAUGGACAUUUUUCAUGUGUGCUGAAAAACUGUCCCUGUGCAUUGAGAUUAUGCAACUAUAUCUCAAGUCUAAGAUUUUAUUGUCUGUAAUUUAAGAUCUCAAGAUGGUCUAUGCAUAGAAAUCAUUCCAGUUUGUUCAGGUGUUUUGUCGAAUACGAACACACCCCUCCACAACCGUGGACUGUGAAUCUGUCGUGUGUUGUAAUAAUUCUAAAGAUUAUAAAGUCUGUGUUGCUGAUCGUUGAUGUUGUGGCAUGAGCAGACGGUUUCAUCUGUACUAAUAUCAAUAAUAUGUUUCUGUCUUCAACAUGCUCACCAAAUCUUCCCAGAAUCCACUGGGAGUCUUAGUAAGACCCACUAAACAGACAAUAUUUACCGUUAUUUAAGAGUUUGUCAUGGACAUACUGUAUCUUAAGUGAGUCCCGUGUCUUUGUGGUGCAUUUAUGCAAAUUGUGCUUCCACUGUUUUAGAGACUAGUCCACAUGUAUGAUUAUUGAAUAUUAAAUUAUUAUGGGUAAAUAAAGCAGGCCUCUUUCUGUGUUUGGACAGAAAGGUGUUAUGAUACUGAGUGUGUAACGUGUGAAUGAAUGUGUGUGUGUGUGUGUGUGUGUGUGUAACGUGUUCUGCUCGGGCGAGUUUGUCAAGCUGGACUCUGUCAUCAUUAAACUUCAGUGUACGGAAAUGUUGUUUCCUGUUAUUUUUCUUGUCUUCUGAAAACUUAAAAGAUAUUUUAGAAUACAAUUCAAAUAUGAAAUCAAAUGCUGAGUCGAUGUGUUUCUAUGGAAGGUCAUUGGUGUCACAUAAGAGAAAAAAUGUUUUGGUAAACCACAAUUAUGACCUUAAAAGUCUAAAUUAUUACUGAUUGCAAUUAUGACAAUCAUAAUUAUGGGGUGCAUUAAAAUUAUACUAGUAACUUUGUAUUCCAUAAUUAUAACUUAUUGUGUCAUUUUUGAACAUCAUAUCAGAAUCAUGCCUUUUAUCUCAUAACGAUAACUUUGUAUGUCUUUUUUUCAUGACAGUUUAACUCAAUUAUGAGAAUCAAAAUUGACAGUCAUAAUUAUGAAAUAAAAAAAGGAAAUAAAAUUUUAACUUGUCUUAAUGACUUAACAUAAUAAUAUUAAAAAAGAAGUUAUGACAAAAUAACAAUUACGAG
Long non-coding RNA from Carassius auratus (goldfish), 3423 nucleotides. The record is from Ensembl. NCBI's taxonomy places the organism in Eukaryota, Metazoa, Chordata, Actinopteri, Cypriniformes, Cyprinidae.